AACAGCAGAACUUACUCUGCUUCAUUAUAAAAUUGCCAGAGAAGAUAAUCCAGGGGAAAAGCCAUUGUCCAAAUACAGUCCAGAACAAGAAUUUUUUAUUGUUUUAAGCAAAAAAUUUAUUAAGAGGAAGAUUUAGGUAAGGGAAAAACCACCUGUGGCUAGAACCCAAGAGCCAGCAGGCCCUAAACCCCAACACCCACCUAGAACCAUAGCCAACAGUUGAUAAAAAAAACCCCUUACAAUUACAAACACAGCAAAGAACAACCAACAGUUGCAACCCGAAACACAGCAUACACCAACCUAAACGCAUGAUGUUACAAAAUGAUUUGAUUCACUGCAAGUUCAUAACCAAGCUCUGCUAGCCUUUUUUCAAGAAAAAAAAAACAUGAAGAAAUGCUCAUAAACCUCAAACGUUUGUUUACACAAUUCAAGCUGAAGAAGAAAUUUUAGCGAGUUGAUUGAAAUUUGACAAAAACUAAAAGCCAGAAUCGUUCACAAACGGAUGCUUCAAAAGCUCAUCAGCAGUUUGACGCUUAUUUGGAUUGCGUUUCAGACACUGCUUGAUAAAAUCUAGUGAAUUCUCUGACAAAGAAUAAUUAGGAAGAUGAUCUAUAAUUGACCCUUUUUGAACUUCCAAUUCUAGAUUUGCAUUCAAAUUUUUCAAAUGAGAGUAUGGAAUAUUCCUGAUUAACAUCUCCAAGACGGUGCAGCCAAAGCUCCAAAUAUCAGCUUUAAAUCCAUACUCUUUGUCCUGUUUUAUAACCUCCGGGGCCAUCCAAUUUAUUGUCCCAUGCCGAGACUUCAUAAGACUAUUUAAUUCAGCCACUCUUGCCAAUCCAAAAUCCGUAAUUUUCACACAUCCUUUCUCAUCCACCAAUAUAUUUGCACAUUUAAUGUCUCUGUGGACUACCUUUCGCUCAUGAAGAUACUUCAAACCUUCCAGUAUC
This 947-nucleotide unclassified non-coding RNA is filed under the name Hevea brasiliensis (rubber tree). The record is from RNAcentral. Lineage: Eukaryota; Viridiplantae; Streptophyta; Magnoliopsida; Malpighiales; Euphorbiaceae.